CCUACGGGCGGCUGCAGUAGGGAAUCUUCCACAAUGGGCGAAAGCCUGAUGGAGCAACGCCGCGUGGGUGAAGAAGGUCUUCGGGUCGUAAAGCCCUGUUGUUGGAGAGGAAGGUGCUGGAGAGUAACUGUUCACGUUUCGACGGUAUCUGCCCAGGAAGCCCCGGCUAACUACGUGCCAGCAGCCGCGGUAAUACGGAGGUGGCAAGCGUUAUCCGGAUUUAUUGGGCGUAAAGGGCACGCAGGCGGUCUUUUAAGUCUGAUGUGAAAGCCUUCGGCUUAACCGGAGAAGUGCAUUGGAAACUGGGAGACUUGAGUGCCGAAGAGGGGAGUGGAAUUCCAGGUGUAGCGGUGAAAUGCGUAGAUAUAUGGAGGAAUACCAGUGGCGAAGGCGGCCCCCUGGGCGGUAACUGACGCUGAGGUGCGAAAGCGUGGGUAGCAAACAGGAUUAGAUACCCGAGUAGUC
Molecule: ribosomal RNA, 465 nt
Filed under: uncultured bacterium
Lineage: Bacteria
Description: partial 16S ribosomal RNA
Rfam family: Bacterial small subunit ribosomal RNA
Source: RNAcentral